CAGUAGCCACGGGAACACGUAGGUGGCAAGCGUUGUCCGGAAUUAUUGGGCGUAAAGCGCGCGCAGGCGGAUAGGUCAGUCUGUCUUAAAAGUUCGGGGCUUAACCCCGUGAUGAGAUGGAAACUGCCAAUCUAGGGUAUCGGAGAGGAAAGUGGAAUUCCUAGUGUAGCGGUGAAAUGCGUAGAUAUUAGGAAGAACACCAGUGGCGAAGGCGACUUUCUGGACGAAAACUGACGCUGAGGCGCGAAAGCCAGGGGAGCGAACGGGAUUAGAUACCCGCGUAGUCCCUGUCUCUUAUACC
RNAcentral lists this ribosomal RNA (301 nucleotides) under uncultured bacterium. RNAcentral's name for it is "partial 16S ribosomal RNA". It matches the Rfam family "Bacterial small subunit ribosomal RNA", at positions 509 to 808 of the family's 1533-position model. The record is from RNAcentral.